Molecule: ribosomal RNA, 479 nt
Filed under: uncultured organism
Description: partial 16S ribosomal RNA
Rfam family: Bacterial small subunit ribosomal RNA
Source: RNAcentral
CGUACACUCCUACGGGAGGCAGCAGUGGGGAAUAUUGCACAAUGGGCGCAAGCCUGAUGCAGCCAUGCCGCGUGUAUGAAGAAGGCCUUCGGGUUGUAAAGUACUUUCAGCGGGGAGGAAGGCAAUACGGUUAAUAACCGUGUUGAUUGACGUUACCCGCAGAAGAAGCACCGGCUAACUCCGUGCCAGCAGCCGCGGUAAUACGGAGGGUGCAAGCGUUAAUCGGAAUUACUGGGCGUAAAGCGCACGCAGGCGGUCUGUCAAGUCGGAUGUGAAAUCCCCGGGCUCAACCUGGGAACUGCAUUCGAAACUGGCAGGCUUGAGUCUUGUAGAGGGGGGUAGAAUUCCAGGUGUAGCGGUGAAAUGCGUAGAGAUCUGGAGGAAUACCGGUGGCGAAGGCGGCCCCCUGGACAAAGACUGACGCUCAGGUGCGAAAGCGUGGGGAGCAAACAGGAUUAGAAACCCCUGUAGUCCCAUGA